Small nuclear RNA from Cebus imitator (Panamanian white-faced capuchin), 139 nucleotides. RefSeq annotates it as U4 spliceosomal RNA. The transcript has a single exon. The record is from RefSeq and is a predicted model, not a curated record. NCBI's taxonomy places the organism in Eukaryota, Metazoa, Chordata, Mammalia, Primates, Cebidae.
AGCUUUGUGCAGUGGCAGUAUCGUAGCCAAUGAGGUUUAUCCGAGACCUGGUUUUUGCUAAUUGAAAUCCUUUCUCAAUACCCCACUCUGACGACUUGCAUUACAGUCGGCACUGGCAAUUUUAAAGUCUUUAGGGAGA